GCAGGAUUUAUAAUGAUUUAUUGAAGAAUGAGUAUACAGCUCGGUAUAGGCCCAACAGAAUCACACAGCACAUCCACUGAAAGAGACUGACUGGACCAAAUACCACAAUAAUACAUGUUGUCAAGAGGCCUUGACACAGUUGUGUACAGAAUAUAAGUACUUUACAUGUUUUUAAAAUACAAAUAUACUUUUUUUUUCACACACCAUCUGAGAAUAUAGAUAUUAGACAAAUAAAUAUACAUCUUGAUAAGGCUGAAAACACGUUCAUAUAUAUUGACAAUUCAGCGAUGAUCACACACGAAAUAAUUAAAAAGUUUGCCUAUAAAAUCUCCACAAAUUACAGGCUUAGUUUAUAACUAUCAGAGGAUCAAAAGGCCACUAGCACGAUCUCUAAAUUAAAAAUAUGUACAAUAAAUACAAAAAAAUCUCCAAACUAACACUCACACAAGACUUGCAUACAUGUAACAGACAUGCGCACACAUAGAUACAGACCAAAACACUCAUGCCUACCCACUUUCACACUGUCUCUAGUGUUAUAUAAAGAUUUAAAGUUAAAUAUACAACAAAAUAAAAUUACAUAAAUAUUUUCGCUGUGCAACUGCAAUUUUCAAUAGACAGCCCCAUACAAAAUACCGAAAUCAGUAACUACGCUAGGAAAAUGUGACAUUACAAGAACUAUUGAGUAUGGACACCCUCGUGGUGAUAACAGCAUUAUAGUGGCCUGAUGGUGUCUUUUGUUGAUUUACAUUUAUGUAUUGUAACACUGAGGUUGUCCUCAAGUAUAGUUUAAAAUACUAAUAUAGUAUGUUCUUCAACAAGACCAUCGUACCCAGUGAGAUGGAUUAACAUGUAAACAAUAUAAACGUGUUUUGUUCACGCAAGUUGUCGUACCGAUAAAACCAAUAAUGUGACACGACAACAUUCUUACAACCACAGUCACUUUACAAUACAAAUUUAAAAUUGUUAUUUGGCCAUUUGAGGUGUGCUAUAAAAAAACGUUUUCUUCAUCAGAAUUUUAAAUCUUGGGUUUCACUCAAAAUAUCUGAGCAUUCUUAAAAAGAUCAAUUUACUUGAGAAGCAAAAUAAAGAAAUGACAGAAUGUAUGUUUAUUUUUUUACACUACUGUUCCAAAGUUUGGGUGUCAGUAAGCUUUUAGAAGUCUCUCUAUUUGAUCAAAAAUACAGUAAAACAGUAAUAUUGUCCAGUGUGUUUUCUAUUUGAAUAUAUUUUAAAAUGUAACAUUCCUAUUAUGGUUGGUUUUCAAGAGCUGAAUUUUCAGCAGCCAUUACUCCAGUCUUCAGUGUCACAUGAUCCCUUAGAUAUCAUUCUAAUAUGCUGAUUUGAAACAUUUGUUAUUACUAUCAGUGCUGAAUACAAAUGUACUGCUUAACAUUUUGUGAAAACCAUAAUACAUGUUUAA
Long non-coding RNA from Cyprinus carpio carpio, 1420 nucleotides. NCBI's taxonomy places the organism in Eukaryota, Metazoa, Chordata, Actinopteri, Cypriniformes, Cyprinidae. The record is from Ensembl.